UCGUUUAGGCUUUAAAGGUUUGCAAACAUAAGCUUCUCUAUUUAUAUUUAUAUGUGAUUUUUACUCUUAUGAUAGUGUUAAAUAUGUUUGAUGACUAGGUGAAGCAGUUAUGAAGGUAUUCGCACUUCUUCUGUUAGUUGUUUUUAUGACUACCUCAGUGAUGGCAAUAAGAGAAAGCACUCAAGUUGUUCAUGAAGCAACCACCGAUACCGUCGAGAAACUGCAAAAUCCUACAAUUGCGCAAGACGAAGGAAUUAAAUUUACGCGAAAGGACAUGAACAUUGAAGGAAAACCAGCAGUGCACACGAGCUAUGUACCAAUAGGACAGUUUUGCGAGGAGAAAAAGUAUGAUUGGUGCCCAUCUCCUCCGUAAGUUUUAGAGGGAUCACUUGCAUGUAGUACGUAUAGGGGAAAGAAUAAAUAAAUAAAUACAAUUAUGGUGUAUAACUUAUAAGAAGAAAUAGAGAUCACCACCCUCCAUGUUGCUUUAAGAUUCAAGCCACUUGAUAGAUAUAAGAAGACACAAGUGAUAGAUAACAAUAAAUAAUGUGGCUUAUGUGGUGGCCACGUACUUCUUGUGUAUAUAUACUUUAUGUGUGGACUCUAUAUAUAAGAUCUCAUAUAUAUAAAAUUAUUAUGAACUUGAUCAGAAGUAAUGAAUGAAUUAUUUGACA
Molecule: long non-coding RNA, 674 nt
Filed under: Ananas comosus (pineapple)
Lineage: Eukaryota; Viridiplantae; Streptophyta; Magnoliopsida; Poales; Bromeliaceae
Description: long non-coding RNA (ACOM_LNC015605)
Source: RNAcentral